GACGAACGCUGGCGGCGUGCCUAAUACAUGCAAGUCGAGCGAAGUUUUUCUGGUGCUUGCACUAGAAACACUUAGCGGCGAACGGGUGAGUAACACGUAAAGAACCUGCCUCAUAGACUGGGACAACUAUUGGAAACGAUAGCUAAUACCGGAUAACAGUAUUUCUCGCAUGAGAGAUAUUUAAAAGUUGGUUAUGCUAACACUAUGAGAUGGCUUUGCGGUGCAUCAGCUAGUUGGUGGGGUAAAGGCCCACCAAGGCGACGAUGCAUAGCCGACCUGAGAGGGUGAUCGGCCACACUGGGACUGAGACACGGCCCAGACUCCUACGGGAGGCAGCAGUAGGGAAUCUUCCGCAAUGGGCGAAAGCCUGACGGAGCAACGCCGCGUGAGUGAAGAAGGAUUUCGGUUCGUAAAGCUCUGUUGUUAGGGAAGAAUGGAUAUGUAGUAACUAUACAUGUAAGAGACGGUACCUAACCAGAAAGCCACGGCUAACUACGUG
RNAcentral lists this ribosomal RNA (499 nucleotides) under uncultured bacterium. RNAcentral's name for it is "partial 16S ribosomal RNA". It matches the Rfam family "Bacterial small subunit ribosomal RNA", at positions 28 to 507 of the family's 1533-position model. The record is from RNAcentral.